GACGAACGCUGGCGGCGUGCCUAGUACAUGCAAGUCGAGCGCAGGAAAACGACGGAACCCUUCGGGGGGAAGUCGACGGAAUGAGCGGCGGACGGGUGAGUAACACGUAAAGAACCUGCCCUCAGGUCUGGGAUAACCACGAGAAAUCGGGGCUAAUACCGGAUGGGUCAUCGGACCGCAUGGUCCGAGGAUGAAAGGCGCUUCGGCGUCGCCGGGGGAUGGCUUUGCGGUGCAUUAGCUAGUUGGUGGGGUAAUGGCCCACCAAGGCGACGAUGCAUAGCCGACCUGAGAGGGUGAUCGGCCACACUGGGACUGAGACACGGCCCAGACUCCUACGGGAGGCAGCAGUAGGGAAUCUUCCACAAUGGACGAAAGUCUGAUGGAGCAACGCCGCGUGAACGAUGAAGGCCUUCGGGUCGUAAAGUUCUGUUGUAAGGGAAGAACAAGUGCCGCAGGCAAUGGCGGCACCUUGACGGUACCUUGCGAGAAAGCCACGGCUAACUACGUGCCAGCAGCCGCAGUAA
RNAcentral lists this ribosomal RNA (524 nucleotides) under uncultured bacterium. RNAcentral describes it as "partial 16S ribosomal RNA". It matches the Rfam family "Bacterial small subunit ribosomal RNA", at positions 28 to 523 of the family's 1533-position model. The record is from RNAcentral.